GAUGAACGCUGGCGGCGUGCCUAAUACAUGCAAGUCGAGCGAACAGACGAGAAGCUUGCUUUUCUGAUGUUAGCGGCGGACGGGUGAGUAACACGUGGAUAACCUACCUAUAAGACUGGGAUAACUUCGGGAAACCGGAGCUAAUACCGGAUAAUAUUUUGAACCGCAUGGUUCAAAAGUGAAAGACGGUCUUGCUGUCACUUAUAGAUGGAUCCGCGCUGCAUUAGCUAGUUGGUAAGGUAACGGCUUACCAAGGCAACGAUGCGUAGCCGACCUGAGAGGGUGAUCGGCCACACUGGAACUGAGACACGGUCCAGACUCCUACGGGAGGCAGCAGUAGGGAAUCUUCCGCAAUGGGCGAAAGCCUGACGGAGCAACGCCGCGUGAGUGAUGAAGGUCUUCGGAUCGUAAAACUCUGUUAUUAGGGAAGAACAUAUGUGUAAGUAACUGUGCACAUCUUGACGGUACCUAAUCAGAAAGCCACGGCUAACUACGUG
This 497-nucleotide ribosomal RNA is filed under the name uncultured bacterium. Its description in RNAcentral is "partial 16S ribosomal RNA". It matches the Rfam family "Bacterial small subunit ribosomal RNA", at positions 28 to 507 of the family's 1533-position model. The record is from RNAcentral.